AGUGAACGCUGGCGGUAGGCCUAACACAUGCAAGUCGAACGGCAGCACAGUAAGAGCUUGCUCUUACGGGUGGCGAGUGGCGGACGGGUGAGGAAUACAUCGGAAUCUACUUUUUCGUGGGGGAUAACGUAGGGAAACUUACGCUAAUACCGCAUACGACCUACGGGUGAAAGCAGGGGAUCUUCGGACCUUGCGCGAUUGAAUGAGCCGAUGUCGGAUUAGCUAGUUGGCGGGGUAAAGGCCCACCAAGGCGACGAUCCGUAGCUGGUCUGAGAGGAUGAGCGGCCACACUGGAACUGAGACACGGUCCAGACUCCUACGGGAGGCGGCAGUGGGGAAUAUUGGACAAUGGGCGCAAGCCUGAUCCAGCCAUACCGCGUGGGGGAAGAAGGCCUUCGGGUUGUAAAGCCCUUUUGUUGGGAAAGAAAAGCAGCGGGUUAAUACCCCGCUGUUCUGACGGUACCCAAAGAAUAAGCACCGGCUAACUUCGUG
RNAcentral lists this ribosomal RNA (492 nucleotides) under uncultured bacterium. Its description in RNAcentral is "partial 16S ribosomal RNA". It matches the Rfam family "Bacterial small subunit ribosomal RNA", at positions 29 to 507 of the family's 1533-position model. The record is from RNAcentral.